RNAcentral lists this unclassified non-coding RNA (208 nucleotides) under Hevea brasiliensis (rubber tree). The record is from RNAcentral. Lineage: Eukaryota; Viridiplantae; Streptophyta; Magnoliopsida; Malpighiales; Euphorbiaceae.
GGGGGCAACUGAGAUUUACAGUGACAGUAGCUCAGCUAUAGCUAUGACAAAAAAUCCCGUCUUUCAUGGUCGAGCUAAGCACAUAGAAAUAAGCACCAUUUUAUAAGGGAGCUAGUAGCUAAGGAGGAAAUCAGCUUGAAAUUCUGCAAUUCAGAUGAACAGAUUGCAGACAUCUUCACAAAGGCGCUACCAUAUUCCAAGUUUAGUU